UACUACUUCUGUAAUUUUCUUAUGGGGCGAACAUUGUUCAGAAAUAAUAGAGCGUAAGGGUGUAUCUGGCGGCUAUAUAAGUUCGGUUUGAAAAUCUUCGGGCUUAAACCCGAGAACUGCACUUGAUACUGUAUAGCUUGAGGGCAGGAGAGGAGAGCGGAAUAUGUGGUGUAGCGGUGAAAUGCGUAGAUAUCACAUAGAACACCGGUGGUGAAGGCGGCUCUCUGGCCUGACUCUGACGCUGACGCGCGAAAGCUAGGGUAGCGAACGGGAUUAGAUACCCCGGUAGUCCUAGCCGUAAACGAUGGGUACUAAGUGUAGGAGGUUAUUGACCCCUUUUGUGCUGUAGCUAACGCAUUAAGUACCCCGCCUGGGGACUAUGGCCGCAAGGCUAAAACUCAAAGUAAUUGACGGGGGCCCGCACAAGCGGUGGAGCAUGCCGCUUAAUUCGAAGCAACGCGAAGAACCUUAUCCAGUGGCUUGACAUCCUCUGACCGCUGUGGAAACACAGUUUUCUCUUCGGAGACAGAGUGACAGGUGCUGCAUGGCAGUCGUCAGCUCGUGUCGUGAGAUGUUGGGUUAAGUCCCGCAACGAGCGCAACCCUUAUCUCUAGUUGCCAGCGGGUGAUGCCGGGGACUCUAGAGAGACUGCCGGCGAUAAGCCGGAGGAAGGUGGGGAUGACGUCAUGUCCUCAUGGCCCUUAUGCCCUGGGCUGCACGCGUGCUACAAUGGCCGGUACAGCGGGUCGUGAAACCGCGAGGUGGAACUAAUCCCUAAAAACCGGUCUCAGUUGGGAUUGUAGUCUGCAACUCGACUACAUGAACGUGGAAUCGCUAGUAAUCGCGAAUCAGCAGGUCGCGGUGAAUACGUUCCCGGGCCUUGUACACACCGCCCGUCACACCACGAAAGUCGGUGGCAUUCGAAGCCGGUGGGCUAACUCCUUUCUGGAGAGGCAGCCGUCGAAGGUGAAACCGAUGAUUGGGGUGAAGUCGUAACAAGGUAGCCGUA
Molecule: ribosomal RNA, 1009 nt
Filed under: uncultured bacterium
Lineage: Bacteria
Description: bacterial SSU rRNA
Rfam family: Bacterial small subunit ribosomal RNA
Source: RNAcentral